CAGCGGAAUCGACCGAAAUCAGAUAGUCGUGCCGCUCGAGCCGUGCGAGUCGUGUUCUAUCCUGGCUGGCGUGUUUACGUCGUUUCGCAUUUUCCGGAAGUUGAUUCCUGGUAGAAAUUGGAUCGCAAGCAAUUGUUUGGGGCUAAUGCAAGUUGGCUUUUUUUUUCGUGUGUCCUGAAUGGGAUGAAUGGAGUGAGUGUUGACUCAUAACAAAAGGUAAAAUUUUCGCUGGGAAUGCGAUACCAUUAGUGACUACGGUGAUGGUCAGAUGUCGAGCACGACCGGAUUAGCUGGAUUUCGGGAAAAGAUCUCAGUGUUGUCCAGUUUUGGCGAAAUGUGUAUAUGCUUUGUGUAGUUCAUUUCCCGGAGAUAAGUCAAGAGUAAACAGCUUCAAGAAAGUAAAGAAAUCCUUAUGCUUAUGCAGGGUGUGUUUAGGAUGAAGAAUAUGCUACAGCCGAGUGUGAAGGUAGCUUAGAUGAAAGCCGUCUUGUGAGAUAUUUCUGAAUUUAAAGGCGAAGAAGGUGCUCGACGUCCCUCGCUUAAUGCCUGUAGGAAGAUUGACGAAAAGGAGCGUGUAAAAGAGGUGAAAAUUAUUUUAGCAGAGUGCUUUUCAUCAAUCAUAAUGUGCUUACUUGGAGUGUUGACUUCGGUGGGCGGAAGCGUGACGGGAACCUAGUGGGGUAGGUUAUAAGUGGAACACGAAUCGCUGACUUCGGAACAUCCGUGGAGAAGCGGAAAGCUAAAGAAUAAAAAGAAUAUUUUUCUGCUUGCUUAUCUCCUGAGAGCUUUUGACUCCCGUGUUGUUUGAUGUGCGGACAAGGAGAAGUAGAAAGAUACAAGAUCGAGUGGUUGUCCUAGGAUGGUAAAAUCUACAGUUGAUUAAAAGCAAACACUUGGCCGGGGUCUAUCUACUACCGGCAAAGUAUAUCAAGUGAGUUUUUUUUUUGUCGGUGAUUAAUUGUAAUGGUGAUGUUCUCAAGUUCUGCACGAUAAAAAUAAUUAGAAGGUAAAACGUGUCUCUUGGUAGUGAUAAAUUUCUGUGACAACUUGAAAAGUGAGCGAUACCUGGCUCCGUGUCUAUCAAGCUUCAUAAAAACCAGCAGCAGCAGCAGCAGUAGCAUCCAGACUAGCGGAUAACACGACCUGAAUAAUUUAUGCAGCAAGAGUGAGUCGCACGUGGAUGCUGCAACGUCGAGCCAAAGGACAUCAGUAAUCUUCGUCAUAGUCGUCGUCGCUGUUGGCGAGUAUCAAAUUAAUCAUACAAUUAUUGGUCCUCUGCGGGUCGUUUGUGACCCUGAUCCGUACCGCUGUGCCACCAGGAUAGCCCCAACCGAGUGAAUCCGGAUAAAAUAUUCCAAAACCGUGCAAACAAACAUUAUUCAACGUCCGAUACCGUAGGAAAAGCUCCUGUUUUCACCGAAAAUUUAUGUGAAUCAAAUAUUUGCCUCUCAACUCCGAGCAGUGAAGCUGCAAAAAAAGGAACGACCCACACUCGGUGAUCUAUUUCAAUUGAUGCUCUCUUGGUGUGAAAAAUUAGAAUUUGAAAUUUUCGAGUGUUUCGUGCUGUGCUCUGUGCUUUGUGCCCUGUGUGUAUUCACACCAUAAAUCGAGUGAUUUGAAAGGUUCCUGCUCGAAGGAAAAAAAAACAGCAAACCACAAACCACCCCCGCGAGUGCUCGCUGCUACUCAAAGGUUGGUUUGUUGUUUAUUUUGGAAUUUUGCCGUCGUUUUAAUCCUCGUCAUCGUCAGUGUGAGUGAAGUGGAGAAAAAUCCAAUAAAUUCCAAGUUGUUGUUGCUUCACUGCCGACUCUCGGAAUACCAUCAAUCAAUAAACCCAAAUUGGAAGCUUUCACGCGCCUCGAAACGGAAGCAGGUGGCACCGGGCGAGGAAAGUCAAAGAAUCUCGUGUCAGAAGCAACCGGAAAGGAAGAUACGGCAAAGCUGAUACGCCGAAAAUCUGCUCCCCCACAAGCCGCCUUUAGGACGCUCGUUCAGAGCAGAGAACGGGAGGGAAAUUCUUCGGAAUCAAUUUCCCUUGCUCGCUCCGGAGAUGUGAAGAAAACCGUGUGCUUAUCCUGCCACCUUCCAGCGAAUAUAAUAUCCAUCACUGAUAACGAGAUCAGACGUCUGUGCACCAUGCGAGCAGAAUAAUCGCGUAACAAUCGAGAAUUGUGAAAAGCCCUCGACAAAUUCUAUUUCCAUUCCGAGGGAAAUUGUAAAAACACAGAACAUCGGAUUUACCUGUCUGCGAUUGGGGAUAUGAUAAAUAAAUAGCCAUCAUCGUACACGUUCAUGGCCGAAUGGUGCCCGAAGUGAACCGUUGCUGAAAAUGGCAUUGUUCCAAAGUUAUUCUGCCGACGUCAUCAACCUGCUGUGCGCUAGGUAACCGCAGAUUCGACGGGGAGUGAAAAUUCCGCGUAUUCGUUUUUAUUUCUAGCGAUCAGGGCAAUUCAGGACAUUCCAUAUAGAGGGGGGUUCAACUACAAUGACAGCAGUGAUGUCGCAACAGGAUCGUGCUAAUUUUGUGUCCGUCCUGCCAGCAGCCGUGUUUCGGCUCGGAUGGUGAAAGUGUGGCGUGAAGCGUGACAAAGUGCAAAAAUUGUGUGCACAGUGCGUUUGUGCAUUUAGCAGGGUUUAAUUUUUUAUUCUAAAUUCAAAGCUGUGCUAUUAGUUAUUGCUUGGUGGAGCGUAACGACGACGAAACCACAGAAGUGUUUUUAAUCAAAACGUCAAAACAUAGUUAAAAGGUCUCUGCGGGUGCACCGGUUUGCACACAUUGUCAACUGCGGCGAUUUCUACCAACAACAGCAACAACAACAACAGCACAACAUAUUCAACAUGAGGAAUCGAAUACAGGUCACCCUGGACAUUUGGGUGCUGGUCGUCUAUGU
This is a long non-coding RNA of Ochlerotatus camptorhynchus, 2891 nucleotides long. RefSeq lists it as uncharacterized. The transcript is spliced from 3 exons. NCBI's taxonomy places the organism in Eukaryota, Metazoa, Arthropoda, Insecta, Diptera, Culicidae. The record is from RefSeq and is a predicted model, not a curated record.